UUUCCAUGAUGAUGAUUUUACAGUUCUGCUACUGAAGAAUUUUGACGACAGCACAAAUACCAAAAUCUCUGAAAA
Molecule: small nucleolar RNA, 75 nt
Organism: Drosophila kikkawai
Lineage: Eukaryota; Metazoa; Arthropoda; Insecta; Diptera; Drosophilidae
Source: RefSeq, a predicted model, not a curated record